AAAGAGUUCCCUUUAGAUAUCCCGUGUGAAAUCUUACAGCACAAUGGUUUGCAUUAAUGACAACUCCAACAAAUAUCUUAAUAUACAUACAUUGGAAAAUUAACCACAGAUAGUACAUAUAAAAUAUGUUGAGUAUUACACUUCAUAGGAUUUCUGUACACCACUGGUCAUGAUCUUACAGUAUGCACAUAUACCUCUUAAUUUCUCUAAUCACAUAGUAAUAAACUUGCAGUGGAAGGGAUACUAAACAGAGUUUUUGGAGAAAAUAGUGAUGAAAUCCACAAUUAGUACUUCUGAUAACAUUAGAUGAGAGAGAGAGAGACAGAGAGAGAGAGAGUAGUGCAGUUUUUAUUUUGUUGCAAAGACGCAUGUGCGAGUGUACUUGUCUAGUAAAUUAAUUCAAAAAAUGACAUAGUUCUUUUGAUAACCUUGUACGCCACGCAUUAACCCUUGGGGUGCUCACUCUUUGUCUCGAUGUCAGCAUUCUUCACAGGUUGAUAUAGUGUUCCCUUAUUCAUGAGUUAAGCUAGCACCACCUGCUCAUUGGAACACAUAUACUCAUAAUGGUGGUCCCUUGUGAUACAGAAAAAAAAUUGUGGGGAUAUUGCUCAGAUUCAGAAGGCAUUGUAUAGAUUUUUUUUGACUUAUUUUUAUUUAUCAUACUUUCUUACAUGGAAACAAUAUAUAUGCGCAUAGUAUAAGUUAUAUGUACAAAGCAUAAUGAAAAGGUUCAAAUAGCAUAAGACUGUUAUAAUCAAUAUGCAUGAUUAAAGAAGCUUACGUUCGCCUAUUUUUCUCAUAUCAAAUUCAUCAAUAAAAGCUACAGAAAAGCUAACCUUGCCUGACCAAAUACGGGUCAAAUUUGGAAAUUGUUCUGUUCAUCCCAUCCUCUCCUUGCUUUGGAUGCCUCGUAACUAUGCUCAUACACAUGCUAAUAAAUUAGCUCAAGUUAACCUAUAUUUUUUAAAGAACCAAGAGAACCAUGCAACUAAGUGCUGCAAAUACAGUACAUACAAAUGUUUUUCUUCAUAAAUAGUGGCAUAUUAUUGCUAUUACCAUUAUCUUUUCUGAGAAGCACGACAAAGACAUAAAAUUUUACCGUAUAACUUAUUAACCUUACCGAGCAUCAUAAUAUGACCAACUGUGAGAUUAAUUAUCUAAUUCUAUAUAUGCUUUUCCACAUGUUUCAAAUGCCUGAAUCAUUCCCCGAAAAAGAAGACGUCCUAAAUCUUAGAGGCCACUAUAUAACAUGUUUAGCUAUCCAGAUUGCCAGAUCUGCAAAAUCAAUCAGUAGAUGGUCAAUCACUUACCACAUGCAGUUUAAUUGUCCCAGCUUAACAUACGUACAAUGGUGGAGGCAGCUCAUCUGAUUAGAGAUCCGACUAUGCCUAGGGCGGCGCAUAGUCUGGCCCCUGCUGCAUAGGGAGGCAGCGCCUGGAUCUGAUUAGAGAGCCACACAUGGAGACACAUGAGCACGUCUGCACGGGCGCAAGUGUAACAAUCCCUGAAGGUAAAAGAACCAGCAGAUAUCAUCUAAACAAACAAAAUCAAAAUUAGCAACCUCCAGGAUGUAAACUAACCUGCAAUAGUUCAAGUGGCAGCAGCCUUGUCCUAAUAGAAAUCCCGUACUUUCUUCUGUCAUGCUCAUCUAGGAGGAUGGGACGAAAAAGGUGAAAGAUGAACAGGUGAUACUCUACUCAAGUCUCUCUUUUUGCAGGGAGGAACGGGAAC
This 1731-nucleotide long non-coding RNA is filed under the name Triticum aestivum (bread wheat). RNAcentral's name for it is "long non-coding RNA (TAES_LNC002783)". The record is from RNAcentral. Lineage: Eukaryota; Viridiplantae; Streptophyta; Magnoliopsida; Poales; Poaceae.